RNAcentral lists this ribosomal RNA (496 nucleotides) under uncultured bacterium. RNAcentral describes it as "partial 16S ribosomal RNA". It matches the Rfam family "Bacterial small subunit ribosomal RNA", at positions 28 to 506 of the family's 1533-position model. The record is from RNAcentral.
GAUGAACGCUGGCGGCGUGCCUAAUACAUGCAAGUCGAGCGAACAGACGAGGAGCUUGCUCCUCUGACGUUAGCGGCGGACGGGUGAGUAACACGUGGAUAACCUACCUAUAAGACUGGGAUAACUUCGGGAAACCGGAGCUAAUACCGGAUAAUAUAUUGAACCGCAUGGUUCAAUAGUGAAAGACGGUUUUGCUGUCACUUAUAGAUGGAUCCGCGCCGCAUUAGCUAGUUGGUAAGGUAACGGCUUACCAAGGCAACGAUGCGUAGCCGACCUGAGAGGGUGAUCGGCCACACUGGACCUGCGACACGGUCCAGACUCCUACGGGAGGCAGCAGUAGGGAACCUUCCGCAAUGGGCGAAAGCUUGACGGAGCAACGCCGCGUGAGUGAUGAAGGUCUUCGGUUCGUAAAACCCUGUUAUUAGGGAAGAACAAAUGUGUAAGUAACGAUGCACGUCUUGACGGGACCUAAUCAGAAAGCCACGGCAAACUACUG